This is a small nucleolar RNA of Cuculus canorus (common cuckoo), 124 nucleotides long. It matches the Rfam family "Small nucleolar RNA ACA64". Lineage: Eukaryota; Metazoa; Chordata; Aves; Cuculiformes; Cuculidae. The record is from Rfam.
GCAGGCUGAAAAUCACCUGGGGUCUCUGUGGCCCCCGGUGAGGUGACUGUGCCAACAGUAUAGGGAACAUAAAGCUUAUUCCUCACAGACACGGGUGGGGAGUGAAACCCAUGUUCCUAUAAGC